This 497-nucleotide ribosomal RNA is filed under the name uncultured bacterium. Its description in RNAcentral is "partial 16S ribosomal RNA". It matches the Rfam family "Bacterial small subunit ribosomal RNA", at positions 28 to 507 of the family's 1533-position model. The record is from RNAcentral.
GAUGAACGCUGGCGGCGUGCCUAAUACAUUCAAGUAGAACGCUGAAGCUUGGUGCUUGCACCGAGCGGAUGAGUUGCGAACGGGUGAGUAACGCGUAGGUAACCUGCCUCUUAGCGGGGGAUAACUAUUGGAAACGAUAGCUAAUACCGCAUAAAAGUCGAUAUCGCAUGAUAUUGAUUUGAAAGGUGCAAAUGCAUCACUAAGAGAUGGACCUGCGUUGUAUUAGCUAGUUGGUGAGGUAACGGCUCACCAAGGCGACGAUACAUAGCCGACCUGAGAGGGUGAUCGGCCACACUGGGACUGAGACACGGCCCAGACUCCUACGGGAGGCAGCAGUAGGGAAUCUUCGGCAAUGGGGGCAACCCUGACCGAGCAACGCCGCGUGAGUGAAGAAGGUUUUCGGAUCGUAAAGCUCUGUUGUAAGAGAAGAACGAGUGUGAGAGUGGAAAGUUCACACUGUGACGGUAACUUACCAGAAAGGGACGGCUAACUACGUG